Molecule: non-coding RNA, 116 nt
Organism: Pteropus alecto (black flying fox)
Lineage: Eukaryota; Metazoa; Chordata; Mammalia; Chiroptera; Pteropodidae
Source: Rfam
GUCUACAGCCAUGCCACCCUGAACAAGCCCAAUGUCUGGUCUCGGAAGCUAAGCAGGGUUGGGCCUGGUUAGUACUUGGAUGGGAGUCCACAUAGGAAGACCAAGUGCUGUAUGAA